UCUUCCCCACAAAGCAGUGUGUCCCUUUACCCUCUGAGACCUCACCUCUGAGUUUCUGUUACUGAAAGCAGAGCAGGGACCUCUCCUCUGCUGCACACUGAGUCUCUCCAUCCACUCUCUGUCUUCAUCUCAACCUCAGAUUCACUGGUGCAGACCUGAGCCCUCCUUGCCAUGUCUGACACAGAGGAAGUGGUGGAGGAGUACGAGGAGGAGGUGGAAGAAGAGGAGGCUGCUGAAGAAGACACACAGGAAGAGGACAAACCAGCUGAAGACAAGGAGACAAAUGAAGAACAAG
Notolabrus celidotus (New Zealand spotty) is the source of this 295-nucleotide long non-coding RNA. RefSeq lists it as uncharacterized. The transcript is spliced from 5 exons. Lineage: Eukaryota; Metazoa; Chordata; Actinopteri; Labriformes; Labridae. The record is from RefSeq and is a predicted model, not a curated record.